This 859-nucleotide ribosomal RNA is filed under the name Escherichia coli. Its description in RNAcentral is "partial 23S ribosomal RNA". It matches the Rfam family "Bacterial large subunit ribosomal RNA", at positions 1 to 903 of the family's 2925-position model. Lineage: Bacteria; Pseudomonadati; Pseudomonadota; Gammaproteobacteria; Enterobacterales; Enterobacteriaceae. The record is from RNAcentral.
GGUUAAGCGACUAAGCGUACACGGUGGAUGCCCUGGCAGUCAGAGGCGAUGAAGGACGUGCUAAUCUGCGAUAAGCGUCGGUGAGGUGAUAUGAACCGUUAUAACCGGCGAUUUCCGAAUGGGGAAACCCAGUGUGUUUCGACACACUAUCAUUAACUGAAUCCAUAGGUUAAUGAGGCGAACCGGGGGAACUGAAACAUCUAAGUACCCCGAGGAAAAGAAAUCAACCGAGAUUCCCCCAGUAGCGGCGAGCGAACGGGGAGGAGCCCAGAGCCUGAAUCAGUGUGUGUGUUAGUGGAAGCGUCUGGAAAGGCGCGCGAUACAGGGUGACAGCCCCGUACACAAAAAUGCACAUAUUGUGAGCUCGAUGAGUAGGGCGGGACACGUGGUAUCCUGUCUGAAUAUGGGGGGACCAUCCUCCAAGGCUAAAUACUCCUGACUGACCGAUAGUGAACCAGUACCGUGAGGGAAAGGCGAAAAGAACCCCGGCGAGGGGAGUGAAAAAGAACCUGAAACCGUGUACGUACAAGCAGUGGGAGCCUCUUAAUGGGGUGACUGCGUACCUUUUGUAUAAUGGGUCAGCGACUUAUAUUCUGUAGCAAGGUUAACCGAAUAGGGGAGCCGAAGGGAAACCGAGUCUUAACUGGGCGUUAAGUUGCAGGGUAUAGACCCGAAACCCGGUGAUCUAGCCAUGGGCAGGUUGAAGGUUGGGUAACACUAACUGGAGGACCGAACCGACUAAUGUUGAAAAAUUAGCGGAUGACUUGUGGCUGGGGGUGAAAGGCCAAUCAAACCGGGAGAUAGCUGGUUCUCCCCGAAAGCUAUUUAGGUAGCGCCUCGUGAAUUCAUCUCCGGGGGU